UAGGGAAUAUUAGAAAUGGACGAAAGUCUGAUCUAGCAACACCGCGUGUGCGAAGAAGGCCUUCGGGUUGUAAAGCACUUUUUGGAAGGAUUAGGAAGGAAUGUACUUCCAGAAUAAGUCUCGGCUAACUACGUGCCAGCAGCCGCGGUAACACGUAGGAGGCAAACGUUAUCCGGACUUACUGGGCGUAAAGCGCGUGUAGGUGGUUCUGUAAGUAGGGCGUGAAAGCUCCUGGCUCAACUGGGAGAGGCCGUUCUAAACUGCAGAGCUAGAGGAUGGUAGAGGGAGGUGGAAUUCCGGGUGUAGCGGUGGAAUGCGCAGAUAUCCGGAGGAACACCAGUGGCGAAAGCGGCCUCCUGGACCAUUCCUGACACUCAGGCGCGAAAGCUAGGGUAGCGAACGG
This 403-nucleotide ribosomal RNA is filed under the name uncultured bacterium. RNAcentral's name for it is "bacterial SSU rRNA". It matches the Rfam family "Bacterial small subunit ribosomal RNA", at positions 355 to 775 of the family's 1533-position model. The record is from RNAcentral.